Molecule: ribosomal RNA, 507 nt
Filed under: uncultured bacterium
Lineage: Bacteria
Description: bacterial SSU rRNA
Rfam family: Bacterial small subunit ribosomal RNA
Source: RNAcentral
CUCAGGAUGAACGCUAGCUACAGGCUUAACACAUGCAAGUCGAGGGGCAUCGAGAGGAAAGCUUGCUUUCCUUGUCGGCGACCGGCGCACGGGUGAGUAACGCGUAUCCAACCUUCCCCUUAGUAGGGCAUAGCCCGGCGAAAGUCGGAUUAAUACCCUAUGUUUUCCGAUGAGGACAUCUGAGCUGGAAUAAAGAUUUAUCGCUAAGGGAUGGGGAUGCGUCUGAUUAGGUAGUCGGCGGGGUAACGGCCCACCGAGCCAACGAUCAGUAGGGGUUCUGAGAGGAAGGUCCCCCACAUUGGUACUGAGACACGGACCAAACUCCUACGGGAGGCAGCAGUGAGGAAUAUUGGUCAAUGGGCGAGAGCCUGAACCAGCCCAAGUAGCGUGCAGGAUGACGGCCCUAUGGGUUGUAAACUGCUUUUAUCGGGGGAUAAAGUGAGGGACGCGUCCCUUUUUGUAGGUACCCGAUGAAUAAGGACCGGCUAAUUCCGUGCCAGCCGCGGC